RNAcentral lists this ribosomal RNA (120 nucleotides) under uncultured bacterium. Its description in RNAcentral is "partial 16S ribosomal RNA". It matches the Rfam family "Bacterial small subunit ribosomal RNA", at positions 796 to 913 of the family's 1533-position model. The record is from RNAcentral.
CACGCCGUAAACGUUGGGAACUAGGUGUGGGUCUCAUUCCACGAGAUCCGUGCCGCAGCUAACGCAUUAAGUUCCCCGCCUGGGGAGUACGGCCGCAAGGCUAAAACUCAAAGGAAUUGA